GGGUUGUGAGGUUAAGCGACUAAGCGUACACGGUGGAUGCCCUGGCAGUCAGAGGCGAUGAAGGGCGUGCUAAUCUGCGAUAAGCGCCGGUAAGGUGAUAUGAACCGUUAUAACCGGCGAUACCCGAAUGGGGAAACCCAGUGUGACUCGUCACACUAUCAUUAACUGAAUCCAUAGGUUAAUGAGGCGAACCGGGGGAACUGAAACAUCUAAGUACCCCGAGGAAAAGAAAUCAACCGAGAUUCCCCCAGUAGCGGCGAGCGAACGGGGAGGAGCCCAGAGCCUGAAUCAGCAUGUGUGUUAGUGGAAGCGUCUGGAAAGGCGCGCGAUACAGGGUGACAGCCCCGUACACAAAAGCGCAUGUGCUGUGAGCUCGAUGAGUAGGGCGGGACACGUGGUAUCCUGUCUGAAUAUGGGGGGACCAUCCUCCAAGGCUAAAUACUCCUGACUGACCGAUAGUGAACCAGUACCGUGAGGGAAAGGCGAAAAGAACCCCGGCGAGGGGAGUGAAAAAGAACCUGAAACCGUGUACGUACAAGCAGUGGGAGCACAGGUUUACCUGUGUGACUGCGUACCUUUUGUAUAAUGGGUCAGCGACUUAUAUUCUGUAGCAAGGUUAACCGAAUAGGGGAGCCGGAGGGAAACCGAGUCUUAAUUGGGCGUUAAGUUGCAGGGUAUAGACCCGAAACCCGGUGAUCUAGCCAUGGGCAGGUUGAAGGUUGGGUAACACUAACUGGAGGACCGAACCGACUAAUGUUGAAAAAUUAGCGGAUGACCUGUGGCUGGGGGUGAAAGGCCAAUCAAACCGGGAGAUAGCUGGUUCUCCCCGAAAGCUAUUUAGGUAGCGCCUCGUGAAUUCAUCUCCGGGGGUAGAGCACUGUUUCGGCUAGGGGGCCAUCCCGGCUUACCAACCCGAUGCAAACUGCGAAUACCGGAGAAUGUUAUCACGGGAGACACACGGCGGGUGCUAACGUCCGUCGUGAAGAGGGAAACAACCCAGACCGCCAGCUAAGGUCCCAAAGUCAUGGUUAAGUGGGAAACGAUGUGGGAAGGCCCAGACAGCCAGGAUGUUGGCUUAGAAGCAGCCAUCAUUUAAAGAAAGCGUAAUAGCUCACUGGUCGAGUCGGCCUGCGCGGAAGAUGUAACGGGGCUAAACCAUGCACCGAAGCUGCGGCAGCGAACGUAUCACUUAAAGCGAUUCAGCGGGUUACGAUUGACGGAGCGAAGCGACGUCAAAGCGUAUACAAAGUCGAGUCGGUUUAAGGAUACGUUCGUUGGGUAGGGGAGCGUUCUGUAAGCCUGUGAAGGUGUGUCGUGAGGCAUGCUGGAGGUAUCAGAAGUGCGAAUGCUGACAUAAGUAACGAUAAAGCGGGUGAAAAGCCCGCUCGCCGGAAGACCAAGGGUUCCUGUCCAACGUUAAUCGGGGCAGGGUGAGUCGACCCCUAAGGCGAGGCCGAAAGGCGUAGUCGAUGGGAAACGGGUUAAUAUUCCCGUACUUGGUGUUACUGCGAAGGGGGGACGGAGAAGGCUAUGUUGGCCGGGCGACGGUU
Molecule: ribosomal RNA, 1550 nt
Filed under: Salmonella enterica subsp. enterica serovar Kenya
Lineage: Bacteria; Pseudomonadati; Pseudomonadota; Gammaproteobacteria; Enterobacterales; Enterobacteriaceae
Description: partial 23S ribosomal RNA
Rfam family: Bacterial large subunit ribosomal RNA
Source: RNAcentral